AUUUGGAGAGGAUGCUUCUGGCGCGGCGCCGUCCGAGUUCCUUGGAACAGGACGCCAUAGAGGGUGAGAGCCCCGUACGGGCGGACGCCUAGCCUUUGUGAAGCUCCUUCGACGAGUCGAGUAGUUUGGGAAUGCUGCUCAAAAUGGGAGGUAAAUUUCUUCUAAAGCUAAAUACCGGCCAGAGACCGAUAGCGCACAAGUAGAGUGAUCGAAAGAUGAAAAGCACUUUGAAAAGAGGGUUAAAAAGUACGUGAAAUUGUUGAAAGGGAAGCGCCUGUGACCAGACUUGCUGCCCGCGGAUCAUCCGGCGUUCUUCGCCGGUGCACUCCGCGGGUGGCAGGCCAGCAUCGGUUCUCCUAGGGGGUUAAAGGUCGCGGGAACGUGGCUCCUUCGGGAGUGUUAUAGCCCGCGGCGUCAUGCCUCUGGGGGGACCGAGGACCGCGCUUCGGCAAGGAUGCUGGCGUAAUGGUCACCGGCGACCCGUCUUGAAACACGGACCAAGGAGUCAAGCAUUGGGGCGAGUGUCUGGGUGCCAAACCCGCACGCGAAAUGAAAGUAAACGCAGGUGAGAGCUUCGGCGCAUCACCGACCGAUCCUGAUGUCUUCGGAUGGAUUUGAGUAAGAGCCUUACCGCUUGGACCCGAAAGAUGGUGAACUAUGCCUGUAUAGGGUGAAGCCAGAGGAAACUCUGGUGGAGG
RNAcentral lists this ribosomal RNA (698 nucleotides) under Ophiostoma ips. RNAcentral describes it as "eukaryotic LSU rRNA". It matches the Rfam family "Eukaryotic large subunit ribosomal RNA", at positions 148 to 873 of the family's 3401-position model. The record is from RNAcentral. Lineage: Eukaryota; Fungi; Ascomycota; Sordariomycetes; Ophiostomatales; Ophiostomataceae.